This is a transfer RNA of Ovis aries (sheep), 73 nucleotides long. It matches the Rfam family "tRNA". Rfam says of the family: Transfer RNA (tRNA) molecules are approximately 80 nucleotides in length. Their secondary structure includes four short double-helical elements and three loops (D, anti-codon, and T loops). The record is from Rfam. NCBI's taxonomy places the organism in Eukaryota, Metazoa, Chordata, Mammalia, Artiodactyla, Bovidae.
UCCCCGGUGGUCCAGUGGUUAAGACUUUGUAUUUCCAAUGCAGGGACUGCAGGUUCAAUCCCUAGUCGGGGAA